RNAcentral lists this ribosomal RNA (460 nucleotides) under uncultured Prevotella sp. RNAcentral's name for it is "bacterial SSU rRNA". It matches the Rfam family "Bacterial small subunit ribosomal RNA", at positions 338 to 795 of the family's 1533-position model. The record is from RNAcentral. Lineage: Bacteria; Pseudomonadati; Bacteroidota; Bacteroidia; Bacteroidales; Prevotellaceae.
CCUACGGGAGGCAGCAGUGAGGAAUAUUGGUCAAUGGGCGAGAGCCUGAACCAGCCAAGUAGCGUGCAGGAUGACGGCCCUAUGGGUUGUAAACUGCUUUUAUGCGGGGAUAAAGUGAGGGACGUGUCCUUCAUUGCAGGUACCGCAUGAAUAAGGACCGGCUAAUUCCGUGCCAGCAGCCGCGGUAAUACGGAAGGUCCGGGCGUUAUCCGGAUUUAUUGGGUUUAAAGGGAGCGUAGGCCGUGGAUUAAGCGUGUUGUGAAAUGUAGACGCUCAACGUCUGACUUGCAGCGCGAACUGGUCCACUUGAGUGUGCACAACGCAGGCGGAAUUCGUCGUGUAGCGGUGAAAUGCUUAGAUAUGACGAAGAACCCCGAUUGCGAAGGCAGCUUGCGGGAGCACGACUGACGCUGAAGCUCGAAAGUGCGGGUAUCGAACAGGAUUAGAUACCCCGGUAGUC